GACGAACGCUGGCGGCGUGCUUAACACAUGCAAGUCGUACGGUAAGGCCCUUUCGGGGGUACACGAGUGGCGAACGGGUGAGUAACACGUGAGUAACCUGCCCACAACUUUGGGAUAACGCUAGGAAACUGGUGCUAAUACUGGAUAUGUGCUCCUGCUGCAUGGUGGGGUUGGAAAGCUCCGGCGGUUGUGGAUGGACUCGCGGCCUAUCAGCUUGUUGGUGGGGUAGUGGCCUACCAAGGCGGCGACGGGUAGCCGGCCUGAGAGGGUGACCGGCCACAUUGGGACUGAGAUACGGCCCAGACUCCUACGGGAGGCAGCAGUGGGGAAUAUUGCACAAUGGGCGCAAGCCUGAUGCAGCAACGCCGCGUGCGGGAGGACGGCCUUCGGGUUGUAAACCGCUUUCAGCAGGGACGAAGCUUUUUGUGACGGUACCUGCAGAAGAAGCACCGGCUAACUACGUG
RNAcentral lists this ribosomal RNA (464 nucleotides) under uncultured bacterium. Its description in RNAcentral is "partial 16S ribosomal RNA". It matches the Rfam family "Bacterial small subunit ribosomal RNA", at positions 28 to 507 of the family's 1533-position model. The record is from RNAcentral.